CAGCCGCCGCGGUAACACGUAGGGUGCAAGCGUUAAUCGGAAUUACUGGGCGUAAAGCGUGCGCAGGCGGUUUGUUAAGACAGAUGUGAAAUCCCCGGGCUCAACCUGGGAACUGCAUUUGUGACUGGCAAGCUAGAGUGUGGCAGAGGGGGGUGGAAUUCCGCGUGUAGCAGUGAAAUGCGUAGAUAUGCGGAGGAACACCGAUGGCGAAGGCAGCCCCCUGGGCCAACACUGACGCUCAUGCACGAAAGCGUGGGGAGCAAACAGGAUUAGAUACCCCCGUAGUCCCUGUCUCUUAUAC
RNAcentral lists this ribosomal RNA (301 nucleotides) under uncultured bacterium. Its description in RNAcentral is "partial 16S ribosomal RNA". It matches the Rfam family "Bacterial small subunit ribosomal RNA", at positions 509 to 807 of the family's 1533-position model. The record is from RNAcentral.